RNAcentral lists this transfer RNA (75 nucleotides) under Candidatus Aminicenantes bacterium RBG_16_63_16. Its description in RNAcentral is "tRNA-Val". It matches the Rfam family "tRNA". From Rfam's summary of the family: Transfer RNA (tRNA) molecules are approximately 80 nucleotides in length. Their secondary structure includes four short double-helical elements and three loops (D, anti-codon, and T loops). The record is from RNAcentral. RNAcentral also lists the same sequence under 5 other names. Lineage: Bacteria; Candidatus Aminicenantota.
AGGCGCGUGGCUCAGUGGUAGAGCGCUUCCUUGACGCGGAAGAGGCCGUGGGUUCGAUUCCCUCCGCGCCUACCA